Non-coding RNA from Xyrichtys novacula (pearly razorfish), 2260 nucleotides. NCBI's taxonomy places the organism in Eukaryota, Metazoa, Chordata, Actinopteri, Labriformes, Labridae. The record is from the annotation of a GenBank genome assembly.
UUUUCUUAUUCAGCCAAAGACAAAUACCCAAAGUUAAUGAGAUCAACAACAACAACAACAAAAAACACUAAAUUCAACCAUUUAGAAAAACAGUUUUGAGGGGUCAUCCACCACUUUUGAUCUGAUGACUGUAAGUUAGAAAAGUCAUUCUGCAAAGGAUUGAGCUUUGAUUACAAGGUCUGAGAAAACCUGGAUGUUUCAUUUGCACUGGUUUUAGAAGGACCACCAAAACACUUUUUCUUAGACUCUGAAUAUGAAUAUUAUGGAGUUGAUCCUCUUUACAUGCAUGCAUAGGUCUUUUUCUCAUGAAAACAAAAGUGCACAUUCCGAAACAUGUCCAUCUUUGAGUCUGAGUCUGCAUUGAAUGCUGAGCAAGCAGUCAGACAGUGUGUGUGUGUGUGUGUGUGUGUGUGUGUGUGUGUGUGUGUGUGUGUGUGUGUGUGUGUGUGUGUGUGUGUGUGUGUGUGUGUUUGUAAUAGGAAUGUGUGCCUUCGGUGUGUGAUGUGACAUUCUCCAGGACUCCUCUCUAAAAGCUUGAAGAGGAAUGUGAAGGAGAAUUUCAUCAUCCACUCAAAAACCUGCUGGAGGUGAGCUGCACUCAAACCUCCUGGAGUCCCUCCCACACAUCCAGCAGGACUUUCCCUAGGGGAGGGGAAGUCUGCAGAAAGUGCAGGCCAGAACUGGUGAGGAUAAAGCGAGAUGAGAAAAAUCCAGAAAAAGUGACAACACUGCUUAUGGGCCUGAGUGUGUUUGCUCCCAAAGUGACCAAAAGUGUAUGCACAUCCAAAAAGUGCUGUUAAAAAAGUUGAAUUCAUUUUUAAUUUGUGAUUCAGUCUCCAGAAAAGGCUCGUGCAGGAAUUCGAAGCCAGAAUUCAAAACUUCCCAUGAGAGGCCAUGGGAAUGAGACAACCUGCUCAGUGUAAGGCAUUAAUGCUAACCACACAUUAGGAUACCACUUUGCGGGGCUUAGCUGUUUCAUCUUAUCUUUUUACUACUCUCUAUGGAGAUUCAAAACCAGGACCACACUGCAGUGGCAGAAAGCCACUUGUGUAUAGCUACACAAUGACGGCCAGCCUGCCAGGAUCAAAAUUAAGACUCUCUAAGCCAUGAGGCUUCAGGGCUAACUUGCUCAGGUUGAUUUCAUUUUCAUAAGACUGUUGAUUCAAAAGCUGGGUCCAGUGGUCCUCAGUUAUGGGAUCCAGGCCACACUGGCCUCACAUGAGUGGGUCACAGCUGGGACUUGUACCCAGAACCUACUCAUUGUUAAACAUCAGCUAACUGCAACUCAAAAGUUCUGCCAUGAGAGAAGUUCUUGAGAGGGUCUUUCUGCGAUGAUAACGUUGAUUCAAAUACUUGCUCUGUCCCUCGGGUUAAGGUCCAGGACUUUAUAGCUUUACAGGGAGAUGCCCCUGUCAGGGUACUUCAGAGUCUUCUCACUGUGGCCAUUUGUGCCACAAUAUACUGCUUUGCAGGGCUCACCUGUUCAGAUGUAUUUGACUUUCCGUACAUUGUGGUGUUUGAAAAUCAUCAUCUACAUCCAGGACAUUCUGGCUCUCCAAGAGAUUUGAACCUAUAACCAGUCUGUAAGACUGUAAUAUGGCAGGUGUCACAACAACAAUAAGGUCUCUCCCUGCUCACCUGUGCAAGUUUAUUUACUCUUCUUCAGGAUAUUGAUGUUAUUCAAGAACACUUUUUUCAGAGGCAUUCUCUACAUUCUUGUGAUAGGAAGUCAGGUAUACAGAGCUAACUCGGUCCAGGUCAAGUAAUUGGCUGAUUUUCUUCCAUUUACCUGCAAGUAUAUCAUUCUUUAUCUUUGUGUCAGUUGUGUUCGCUUUCUUUUUCAAAACAAAAAUGUAUAAACUCCAUUCUCUCCACGUGCUUACUGUAGUUUACCGUUCAAAUACUCAAAAACAAGUUGAUUAUGGACUCAGUGAUAACCUAGCAUUGAAAAACCACUCAGACAUGUACUGGUUGAGUUUCUGUUCCCACCACAACACAGAAACAGCAUGCAUUAAAGUUGAAAAUGAUCUUUCAAAUACAGACUAAAACACUGAUUCUGGUGCUUUUAGAUUUCAGUGCUGUCUUUGCCAGUGUGGAUCAUAAGAUAAUAUUGUGGCAGAGACUAGAAAAAUGAGUGGGUUCAUUGGGUUCAGUUUAAACUGGUUCAGGACAUACCUACGAGGCAGGCAGUGCUUUGUGUCCAUCAGAGACUGUCUCAAGUAAAGUGAAGUCAAGUAUGGAGUCCCCCAAGGUUCAACUC